This 211-nucleotide long non-coding RNA is filed under the name Mytilus galloprovincialis (Mediterranean mussel). The record is from RNAcentral. Lineage: Eukaryota; Metazoa; Mollusca; Bivalvia; Mytilida; Mytilidae.
GUUGUUUUUUUUUUUUAUUUUUGUCAGUUGUGUUGUAUGUCUGUGAUGAGUGUUUACACACGUUUUAGCUGCUGGAUCAAAUUAUUGUCACAAUAAUAAUAAUGUCUGUAUGGGUUGUUCAUCCAAUUUUGUCAACAUAUUGGAACUAUAAAUAACCUUUAUACAAGUAGGAGGAUCAACUAGCUAUAAAAUCGGGUUUAAUGCACAAUUU